Molecule: non-coding RNA, 1222 nt
Organism: Arachis ipaensis
Lineage: Eukaryota; Viridiplantae; Streptophyta; Magnoliopsida; Fabales; Fabaceae
Source: RefSeq, a predicted model, not a curated record
CCAUUGAGCAGAGUAUAUGAUUUGAGGUGGAUGGACAAUACAAGUUAAACUAGAACUUGUAGUAUAUGAUUUGAAUAUUUUCCCGUGCUUCACUAUUUGUGAAUGACUUAUAUAUGGUUUGCUUUGACGUAGGCAAUGAUUCUUCAUGCUUCCAGAUUAGUUGCUCUAUAGAAUUUGAAUAUUUCAGCUUAUUCCUAGAUAUUCGUACAGUAGCAAAAGUUCAAGUAUGGAUCUUUAUUAUAUUCCAUCAUAUUAUUCCAUUUUCAGAUAUCUUGAACUAACAAGAUUCUUAUUUCAGGUGUUAGGUUCUAAUUAUCUUAGUGUGUUACUUGAGGCUAUUGAUAUAAGGUAACAAAAUUUCUUUUCCAAGAUGGUGUGCCUAAUAAUGUUGUUGAUGAUAGAGAUUUACAUACUAUUCUCAACUAUUAAUUAUACUUCUUGUGUUGAAGCUUUUAAGCUGAAUAUGAGUAAUAAACUGCUGAGCACAAAAUGCUUUGGAAUAUUUUUUAAUGUAAAAUUGUAAAUUAGCUUGCCGUUUGAUUCAUCUAAUCUUUUUAAUACAUUUUUGUUACUUCUAAUUGGGUUGAUCUUUCUUUUCCGGGCACCAAAAUUAACAAUAUAAUUGAAUUAUGUGUUUCUUAAUUUUUCAUAUAUUCCUGACAUUAGGAUAUAAUAUUAUAAUCUUUAAUUACCUAAUUUAUUUAUUUUGAAAUGAAUUCAAUUUAAUUCACUUCAAACUUGUUGUUUCAAAUGGGCUUGCAGCAGGUUAAUGAAUUUGUUCUCCUUCAUGGUCCUUUAUGGCUAACAAAGCUAAAGAAGAGCCUAACACUGCACCUUCUUUUGAUCGGUGGCUACAGUUUGUUUCUAUUAUAAUUAUAAUUUGUUCUUGUUGGUCUUGUUGUAAGUUUGAAUUAAAUUUGUUCUUUCUUAAGUUAUGGCUACAGUUUGUUUCUAUUAUAAUUAUAAUUUGAUCCUUGUUUUUGGUACAUUUUUAUUAUUAUUUAUCUUGAACAUAACAUUAGGUAUUUGAUUUUGAUGUCUUUUGCAUACUAGUGGAUCAUUAUAUGGUGCAUUAAUUGGUUCUGUUUUGGCCUUCAAUGUUGCUGACUUCCUAGGUAGAAGAAGGGAGCUGAUUUCAGCGGCAUUGUUAUAUCUUGUCGGAGCACUCGUAACAGCACUAGCUCCAAAUCUUCCUAUAUUGGUGAUAGGGAGAUUUGUUUAU